Non-coding RNA from Eubacterium sp. CAG:252, 117 nucleotides. The record is from Rfam. Lineage: Bacteria; Bacillati; Bacillota; Clostridia; Eubacteriales; Eubacteriaceae.
UUGAAAGUUAAUUUUGCUAGUUCUUAUACUUUCCCUUAGUUCACAGAUAGGUGGGUACACGGAUGUACCCACCAGCGAAGCCGUGCCAAGGAUGGCACGUCUGAGCGGUAUCGUCCG